GACGAACGCUGGCGGCGUGCUUAACACAUGCAAGUCGAACGGAAAGGCCCUGCUUGCAGGGUACUCGAGUGGCGAACGGGUGAGUAACACGUGGGUGAUCUGCCCUGCACUUCGGGAUAAGCUUGGGAAACUGGGUCUAAUACCGGAUAGGAGCCAUCUUUAGUGUGGUGGUUGGAAAGUUUUUUCGGUGUAGGAUGAGCUCGCGGCCUAUCAGCUUGUUGGUGGGGUAAUGGCCUACCAAGGCGGCGACGGGUAGCCGGCCUGAGAGGGUGUACGGCCACAUUGGGACUGAGAUACGGCCCAGACUCCUACGGGAGGCAGCAGUGGGGAAUAUUGCACAAUGGGCGCAAGCCUGAUGCAGCGACGCCGCGUGGGGGAGGAAGGCCUUCGGGUUGUAAACUCCUUUCGCUAGGGACGAAGCUUUUUGUGACGGUACCUAGAUAAGAAGCACCGGCUAACUACGUG
Molecule: ribosomal RNA, 465 nt
Filed under: uncultured bacterium
Lineage: Bacteria
Description: partial 16S ribosomal RNA
Rfam family: Bacterial small subunit ribosomal RNA
Source: RNAcentral